RNAcentral lists this ribosomal RNA (261 nucleotides) under Paenibacillus sp. UASWS1643. RNAcentral describes it as "partial 16S ribosomal RNA". It matches the Rfam family "Bacterial small subunit ribosomal RNA", at positions 1 to 247 of the family's 1533-position model. The record is from RNAcentral. Lineage: Bacteria; Bacillati; Bacillota; Bacilli; Caryophanales; Paenibacillaceae.
UUUAUUGGAGAGUUUGAUCCUGGCUCAGGACGAACGCUGGCGGCAUGCCUAAUACAUGCAAGUCGAGCGGACUUGAAGAGAAGCUUGCUUCUCUGAUAGUUAGCGGCGGACGGGUGAGUAACACGUAGGCAACCUGCCCUCAAGUUUGGGACAACUACCGGAAACGGUAGCUAAUACCGAAUAGUUGUUUUCUUCGCCUGAAGGAAACUGGAAAGACGGAGCAAUCUGUCACUUGGGGAUGGGCCUGCGGCGCAUUAGCUA